CACACUUCCAAAUUUCACCUUUGAUAGCGUUUGGAGAUUUACACUGGCGUCAUGCAGACCAAUACAAGACACCUCGAAACAUGUUUAUGUUAUAGGAGGCCACAGGCAAAAGGGCCAAAUCAAAUGGACACUCUUCAGUCGGUGCCGAUCAAACAGCGCCUGAAGAUCCAAUUUCAGGACCGGCGAGAACUACGGCAACUUACAACGUGGAUUGACAGAUUGUCCUCCUGCUUCAUAUUCAUUUCCUUUCCAGUCAGUCAGACAACAAUUCCCCUUGGAUUUGUGUAACACAACAAAGAUAUGGAAGAAGACACAACUGUCUUACCUCAGGGUUACUGUGAAGGACGGAGUCAAAAGGAAAGUCAUCCGAGUCACUGCAGGGCAAUGUCGUCUCAUGCAGGUUCACCAUCAGCCUAUACAUCCUUCCAGUCUGAAGAGAGAGACAGAGCCAAGCACUGAUGUAGGACCACCAUGGAAUAUAAUGCCAUUGGCGAGUAUGGGGUUAGUGAUUCUUCAUGUAACAUCAGGGGAGGGUUUGGUUGAAUUUAAAGAUUUAUUUAUUUAGUGUCUCUAUAGAGACAAUGGAGAUAUUCUAACAGAAAAUGUGGCUUUUUUAAUUCAUGGUUCGGGACAACAUGUUUUAAUAGCCCAUUAAAAGUUGCCUAAGGUAAGGCUCCUGAAUGUUGCAGUUAGCUGCAUCACUGUGAGACCAGGGUGUGGAUUAGCAUAACCCAGGAGUUCCACAGGGGGCAGUGGAACUGGCCAGCACCAUCCGGGUUUGUGAGUGUUAAUAAUAAUCGAGUACCUCAUUGAACUAGCAACACCUUGUGGCGCUAUUGGCGCCUGUGAACUCUAUCAAGUUAGAAGACCGGAGAGUGUGCUCCCUCCGGCCUGUAAGGAUUCCAGUAUAGCCUUACUGGUUAGGGUCAAGAUGAAGGAAGUCAUCCUCAGAGCAGGUGGAGCCUGCAGAGUCUGUAGAGGGACUGGUCACCCUACAGGGUCUCACCAUCACCCGUGUCACCCUUCCACACUGAGGAGACAAAGGCUUGUACUCAAGGACACCAUUUAAUAUACUACCAUUGGUUAAUAUGUAGAUAGGGAGUCUUCAUUUGUAUUCAAG
Esox lucius (northern pike) is the source of this 1120-nucleotide long non-coding RNA. NCBI's taxonomy places the organism in Eukaryota, Metazoa, Chordata, Actinopteri, Esociformes, Esocidae. The record is from Ensembl.